RNAcentral lists this transfer RNA (67 nucleotides) under Marmota monax (woodchuck). RNAcentral's name for it is "tRNA.Ala". It matches the Rfam family "tRNA". From Rfam's summary of the family: Transfer RNA (tRNA) molecules are approximately 80 nucleotides in length. Their secondary structure includes four short double-helical elements and three loops (D, anti-codon, and T loops). Lineage: Eukaryota; Metazoa; Chordata; Mammalia; Rodentia; Sciuridae. The record is from RNAcentral.
GGUUGUGGCUCAGUGAUAGAGCGCUUGCCUAGCACGUGUGAGGCUCUGGGUUCAAUUCUCAGCACCA